CUUCAUCAAUCUGUUGCGGACAGAUAAAGUGGAUAUGUGUAUCGAUACCACCUGCGGUUAGAAUUUGGUUCUCACCUGCGAUGAUUUCAGUACCAGGGCCAAUGAUGAUAUCAACAUUAGGCUGUACGUCUGGGUUACCCGCUUUACCAAUUGCCGCGAUACGACCUUGCUUAAGACCAACGUCAGCUUUAACGAUGCCCCAGUAAUCCAUGAUGAUAACGUUAGUAAUAACCGUAUCCAUUACUGCGUCAUCACAACGCUGGCUCUGACCCAUACCGUCACG
Molecule: small RNA, 283 nt
Filed under: Vibrio rotiferianus
Lineage: Bacteria; Pseudomonadati; Pseudomonadota; Gammaproteobacteria; Vibrionales; Vibrionaceae
Description: 5_ureB_sRNA
Rfam family: 5' ureB small RNA
Source: RNAcentral